This 253-nucleotide ribosomal RNA is filed under the name uncultured bacterium. Its description in RNAcentral is "partial 16S ribosomal RNA". It matches the Rfam family "Bacterial small subunit ribosomal RNA", at positions 524 to 776 of the family's 1533-position model. The record is from RNAcentral.
UACGUAGGGUGCGAGCGUUAAUCGGAAUUACUGGGCGUAAAGCGUGCGCAGGCGGUUCGUUGUGUCCGAUGUGAAAUCCCCGGGCUUAACCUGGGAACUGCGUUUCUAACUGGCAGGCUUGAGUGUGGCAGAGGGGGGUGGAAUUCCACGUGUAGCAGUGAAAUGCGUAGAGAUGUGGAGGAACACCGAUGGCGAAGGCAGCCCCCUGGGCUAACACUGACGCUCAUGCACGAAAGCGUGGGGAGCAAACAGG